RNAcentral lists this ribosomal RNA (465 nucleotides) under Vreelandella stevensii. RNAcentral describes it as "partial 16S ribosomal RNA". It matches the Rfam family "Bacterial small subunit ribosomal RNA", at positions 338 to 795 of the family's 1533-position model. Lineage: Bacteria; Pseudomonadati; Pseudomonadota; Gammaproteobacteria; Oceanospirillales; Halomonadaceae. The record is from RNAcentral.
CCUACGGGCGGCAGCAGUGGGGAAUAUUGGACAAUGGGGGGAACCCUGAUCCAGCCAUGCCGCGUGUGUGAAGAAGGCCCUCGGGUUGUAAAGCACUUUCAGUGAGGAAGAACGCCUGGUGGUUAAUACCCAUCAGGAAAGACAUCACUCACAGAAGAAGCACCGGCUAACUCCGUGCCAGCAGCCGCGGUAAUACGGAGGGUGCGAGCGUUAAUCGGAAUUACUGGGCGUAAAGCGCGCGUAGGUGGCUUGAUAAGCCGGUUGUGAAAGCCCCGGGCUCAACCUGGGAACGGCAUCCGGAACUGUCAAGCUAGAGUGCAGGAGAGGAAGGUAGAAUUCCCGGUGUAGCGGUGAAAUGCGUAGAGAUAGGGAGGAAUACCAGUGGCGAAGGCGGCCUUCUGGACUGACACUGACACUGAGGUGCGAAAGCGUGGGUAGCAAACAGGAUUAGAUACCCCGGUAGUC